GAUGAAGAACGCAGCGAAAUGCGAUAAGUAAUGCGAAUUGCAGAAUUUCCGUGAGUCAUCGAAUCUUUGAACGCACAUUGCGCCCACUGGUAUUCCGGUGGGCAUGCCUGUUCGAGCGUCAUUAUCCUCCCUCAAACCCCGGGUUUGGUGUUGGACCCAAGUUGUGUGAACAACUGGUCUCAAAGACAAUGACGGCGUCCGUGGGACCCUCGGUGCAACGAGCUUUUAGGAGCACGCAUCGAGUUGCAAGGACCUUCCGGGCCGGUCUCCUUUACCAUUUAACAAGGUUGACCUCGGAUCAGGUAGGAAUACCCGCUGAACUUAAGCAUAUCAAUAAGCGGAGGA
This 345-nucleotide unclassified non-coding RNA is filed under the name soil metagenome. Its description in RNAcentral is "partial contains 5.8S ribosomal RNA, internal transcribed spacer 2, and large subunit ribosomal RNA". The stretch from base 1 to 121 matches the Rfam family "5.8S ribosomal RNA", at positions 35 to 154 of the family's 154-position model. The record is from RNAcentral.